Molecule: long non-coding RNA, 1190 nt
Organism: Mastomys coucha (southern multimammate mouse)
Lineage: Eukaryota; Metazoa; Chordata; Mammalia; Rodentia; Muridae
Exons: 2
Source: RefSeq, a predicted model, not a curated record
CAAAUUUCCAUCCCUGACCCAGACUUCUAUGAGAGGAAACAAAUAAAACAAGAAAGCAAACAAACAAAACCAAAACAAAACAAAAAACCUAACCAAACGAAAAAUAACUCAAAACAGGAAUAUUUUAAUUUCACUUGAAUUUUCCAAAUAGUCUCAGAGAAUACUUUUUGAUGGAAGACAGGUGGUUAGAGAGAAGGGAGUGGAGCCAAAAGAGAAAUCAGGGCACCAGACGAAAACAGAAGGCUGGGUAUGGAGAUGUCAAGAGCCCUGCCCUGGAGAAACAGGGGAACAGAAGAUGGCCACACCAGUACUAAUGAAAUGAGGGAACAGCAGAAGGCAUCUCAGAGGGUGACUUGGGCCAACUAGAACAAAGCGUCAGUUCUGGGGCCUUGGGCUGAUUGUAGCUUUAUCGGGAAACUGCGUGCUACCCGGAUAACAUGAAGCUUGAACCGAGAAACCGUCCAACCUUCUCCAGUCAAAUGAAGAAGAAAUGACGAACGCAUGUUUUAUCACUAUCGCUUUUAACUUCAUUCAUGGUCAUUUUAAAGACUGUUCUGUGUGGCCCCCAAACUAAGGAGGGGCAUUUGAGUAAGCCUCAGUUUACCCUUCAGCUUUGGGGUGCAUAAAAGCUCCCUUGCUUUUUACCCUGAGCCUAAGGCUUGCAGACCCCAGCUGCUUUUCUGCUUCACCUUUGCAGUUUGAAGGUUGCUGGUGGUGGGAGGGCAGGAGCUUGGAAGUUCUAAGCUGCCCUUUUAAGUGUCUGCCUUCCCUCCUAGUUCCUGACCACCUUACCCACUCCAGUUUUGUUCCAAAUCCCCAGUCUGACCAUUUAAACACCCUACCUGAUCUGAAUCUAGCUCUCAUAUUUUCUCUGUCUGGAUUAUGAUUUUUUUUCUUUAACUAUCUAUAUACUUCCCCUCCCUCACGCCCUGACAACCAGUCUUGGUAGGCUAGGUGAGAGGAAGUGCUUCAUGGGGAGGGGAUGCUCUGAAGGUCUGUCUAACUUAAGACUCAGAUUGUGAAGUCCCAUUUCCCCGGUCCUCUUUACACAGAACGGAUGUCUGCAGGGGGCUGCGUUUGAGUGUGUCCAAUCUCCACUAUCAUCACAAUCUGAUAAAACUCCAGCGCUUUAGCUUCUGGCUAAGUAUUUUCUCCUCUAAGUAGGCUUUAUUAAAAAGAAUACAAUUCUA